GCCUCAGUGUCACCGUCUGGAAAAUGGGUGGAUACCAAAAGAGGAGUGGCUUUGAAUGAAUGACACUUUAGUACUGCAUCCUUUUUUCUAGGGUUAGGGUGGUCAUAGGGUGGCGAGCCAGUGUCCUACAUGGGAAGUCCUGCCAGAUGCCAAGUCUCUGCACUUCCUGCAGCAGCUGCUUAGUGGCCAGAGCCCACAUUCCUGAGUUGGGCAUUCAAGGCCUCUGUCCCCAGAUGGGCCCUGUUCGCCAGCCCUUCUGUGGCUCCCUCAGGAUAAAACACCCAGCGGAGUCUCCAGCCCCUGCCUCCUAGCUAGCCCUGCCUCCCUGCCUCUUCCUUUCCUCUCUCACACCUGCCUUUACCUACCUCAGGCCCUUUGAACAUGCUGCUGUCUCUGCCUGGAAUGUGCUGGGUCCUCCCAUCUUCCUUCCCUUCUCUCCUCCUGGAUGAGUCCCACUCAUCCUUCAAGUCUCAGUAUGGAUGUCACCACCGGGAGCCCACCCAAUGCCCCAGACUGGAUCAGGCCUCUAUGCUGAGCCCCUAGCCCUCCUCAGCCCUCCACGACCUUCUCUCCAGGAUUGACUGCUGUGCUUAUCUGAGUGCUGUUCUGUUUCCCCACGAAAGAUGAACGGUCCUGUGUUCGCUGCUGGCUCCCUGGUGCCCUCACAGUUUUGCGAUAAGCAUUUGUUGAAUGACUGAGUGAGUGAAUGAAUGAAGCCUCUGACUUUCCAGCCUCUCCGCCAUUGCUCAACUAUCCCUGCAACCUAGAAUGCCUCAACCACAACGGCCCUUCAAGGACCAGCUCAAAAUGCCUCCUCCAAGAAGCCUUCCCUGGUCUCCACUAGAAACCAUCACUCCCUCCCCUCCACGGCCACUCCAGAGCUGCCCUGCUCAGCAACACAGUGUCCCUGAGGACUCAAGGUCUGGGCCUGUGCCCACUGCGGGACCCAGUUCUGAGCCAGCCCAUGACUCACAUACACUCAGCUGCCAGCUUGAGACCAAGGGGGAAGCAGCCGGUGGAGGAGCUGGAGGAGCGUAUCUGGGUUAUGGGUGCAUAUGUGCCUGUGUUCUGGGAAAGGGCACCCGUUGCCUAGAGCCAGCCACCCUCACAGACGACAGCGUCCUGGGAAAUCGGCUGCAUCUUAAAGUCCAACCCCCUCAUGGUAUAUAGCUAGGGAAACCGAGGCCUCAGAAGGAAGGAAUCUGCCCAGGGUCCUCCAGGUUGGUAACAGCCGAAACUCAGGAUUGGACUUGGGGGUCAGGGGCACUUGGGUUUGAAUUUCAGCUCUGCUUUACCCCAGCAAGUUGUACCUUUCUGGAAAAAAGGGAAAAUAAAAAAGGUUGUGAGGAUUCAAACAUAUCAAGAGUUCAGACAGUGGCCGGUGUGGUGGCUCACGCCUGUAAUCCCAGUACUUUGGGAAGCCAAGGUGGGUGGAUCACCUGAGGUCAGGAGUUCAAGACCAGCCUAGCCGACAUGGUGAAACAUUGUCUCUACUAAAAAUGUAUAAAAAUUAGCCAGGCGUGGUGGCAGGCGCCUGUAGUCCCAGCUACUCGGGAGGCUGAGGCAUGAGAAUCGCUUGAACCCGGAAGGCGGAGGUUGCAGUGAGCCAAGAUCACGCCACUGUACUCCAGCCUGGGCAACAGAGCAAGACUCCGACUCAAAAAAAAAAAAAAGUUCAGACAGGAUCUGGCCACAGCAAGUACUUAGUGGAUGGUCAUUAUUAUCAAUAUUUGGAACUCUGUGUCCUGGGAUACAGGCUAGGAGGAGGAACUGGGGAGGCAGGUGCCCCACACCCCUCCAGGCCAGGCUUUAUCUGUGUCAAGGGUACUUACCAGUUCCAAGCCUUUGCUUCUGCCUGGGACACCACCCUCCUCCCCACUGUUCUAAGUCCUGUCUGCCAACAUCCACUUAAUGUGACCUCCUGGGAAGCUCUUCCUGAUGCUCCCAACAGCAUUGCCCAAUGCAGAGCUACCUGAAACUAUUGUGAUGGAUGUACAACCCUGGGAAUCCACAAAAGCCUACUGAACUGUACAGUUUAAAUGGAGGGGGAAACUGAGGCUGAAGAAGGUGAGAAGGGAGCCGAUGGUUCUCUUCACACCCCACCCCUGCACUCGUAAGCACGCAAAAGGCUGCUCUGUAAGCUGCUGACAUUUGGCAAGGCUGUGAGGCUACACCAGCAAAGCCGGGUGGCUGGGGAUGCUGAAUCAGCAGAGCGACGCCCCCGCGCCCCCCACUCCAGGUCCCGGCCCGGCCCCUCCGCUAAGCUCAACCCUGCCUCCCUCAGGUGCCUCGGUCUCCCCCAGGACUGAAGGAAGUGGUGGAGCAAGGCCCACAAGGGCGAGUGUCCCCGAAGCUGCCUUAGUUUCCCCAUCUGUAAAACGGGACUGGUGACCUGCAGCUCUCACGGGGCUGGCGACCAGCUCGCGGGUGCUCGCCCUGCAUCCGAGACAGCACCUACAACUCCGGACCCACUCGGGGCGGAAUGGGUGGGCUCUUUGUUCCCUUCCGAGACCCCAUCUCGAUUCCCCUUCCAGGGAGGGCAGCCCUGAAAAUGCAAGGUUGCUCCAGCAGCCCCCUCGGGUCACCUGCUUCCCCGAAGCCGUCCUCCUCGCCUUCCGCUCCCGCCUCCACCGGCAUCCCCAGGUCUCCGUUGGGGCCCGACAUUGCGGGCUCGGGCGCCCGAAGGGCCGCGCGACGAUGGAACGCGGCGACCGUCGCGCCGAAAGCCGGCGCCAGAUGGAAGGUGGAGGCGGCGGAUAGAACACGGGCCGGAAGGGUAGAACGCGGCAGCAGAUCUCCGCCCAGAGGCCGGUGCCCCGCCCCUGAAGCCGGAAUCCCGCAGCUCCCGCUCCGC
RNAcentral lists this long non-coding RNA (2854 nucleotides) under Pan troglodytes (chimpanzee). RNAcentral's name for it is "long non-coding RNA NONPTRT017971". The record is from RNAcentral. Lineage: Eukaryota; Metazoa; Chordata; Mammalia; Primates; Hominidae.